This is a long non-coding RNA of Lutra lutra (Eurasian river otter), 1368 nucleotides long. RefSeq lists it as uncharacterized. The transcript is spliced from 3 exons. Lineage: Eukaryota; Metazoa; Chordata; Mammalia; Carnivora; Mustelidae. The record is from RefSeq and is a predicted model, not a curated record.
CAUGCAGGAGAUCAUUUAAUUACUUUUAUCUUAUUGCUCAUUUUAAUCGUGAUUUUGUGAUCAGCCUGGCUUGGAAGUUUGAGGACAAGGAUGUAGUUUUUCUACAGUUUUAUUCUCAUUUUUCUAUACAAAAUGCCUGAUAGAGUACCACUUCUGCUAAUCAGCAAUUCUUAUUGGCAGUUAUAAAAAUUUUAAACUAAGAGCAGCUGCAUUACAGAGCACCUAUAAUGGAACGUGACAUAAAUCGAAAGACCUCAGGCAGCUCUCAGAUAUGGUUACACAUGGAAAGCAAUAGGGUGACACUGACAUCAUCUUCUCUGAUCAACUGGUGCACACUGAACCCAAAGGACAAAGGGCACACACGAUUUGUUGAGAAGAACAUUUAUUAUGAGAAUGGGCUUCUUGUGUACUAAUUCAUUUUUGACAGGGGAUGUGUAAAAUCUAAGAACGUUCCACUAUUUACUGCUUAAACAAGAAUGAUUUUCUCUUAUUUACAGAGAUAAUAUUGUUUGACCCAACCUUGAUCCUGCCAUGGUAUGUUUACCACCUCAUGUCUUGGCAUGUUAACAUGCAGGUCUAAAAAGACUUGACCUCUCAAUUGAGAAAACCCAAAAGACAACUGGUUUGCCUUAUUGAAUAAUGAACCUGAGACCCCUCAAAAAUGAUCUCAUGUGGUACAUUUGCCCCACUCAAUGAAAGAGUCCUCGGAUGACCAAUCGACUCCUUUCCACAGUGUCAUUAAUAGUUGCCCCAGAAAUCAAUCAGUGAACAAAGCAGCAGGCCAUCACCUCCUAUCCUGCUUUUUACCACUGUGAAGUUAUUUAUUUCUAAUUUUUAUGAGACCACCAAAUCAUCCCCAAUACUGCAGAAAAACACAGGGCAAGGCGAGAGUGGGUGAUGUGAGAUGAGGUAACAUGGAGAAUGUUGCAGAGACUUCAAGUUUUCAUCCAAUUUUUCUUCUUUUCAGCUCCCAGUGUUAUAAAUGUCCCACAAGACAACAGUCCUGAAACCGAACACCCAGGAAAUCUUAUAAAGCCAGAUCCCCGUCCAACAGGGUUAACUCCAGACUCCAGAAAAUGUGAAAAAGCAUGUGUCUGACCACCCAGCAAUUCUGGAAUUUGAAAGUCAAGGAGGUUUGAAGAUCCGUCAACCCUGUACUUGCUCACAAAGAAAAUUGUAUGAAGGCACAGCACUGUGUUUUCUGAACUUCAGCAAUCUCCACUCUCCCCUGAGUGCUCAGCGGACUGUCCACCACCACGUGAACACUUGCUCAUUGACCCUCUGAUACUAACUGUAGUCCUUCGGCAACAUGUAUAUAAUCUUGAGAAGAUGGUCCGUGCUAGGGUCCCAAGAGAUGCUCCAGUCAAC